RNAcentral lists this ribosomal RNA (494 nucleotides) under uncultured bacterium. RNAcentral describes it as "partial 16S ribosomal RNA". It matches the Rfam family "Bacterial small subunit ribosomal RNA", at positions 28 to 507 of the family's 1533-position model. The record is from RNAcentral.
GACGAACGCUGGCGGCGUGCUUAACACAUGCAAGUCGAACGGUGAAGCGCCUUCCUUUUUGGUGGGUGUGGAUGAGUGGCGAACGGGUGAGUAACACGUGAGUAACCUGCCCCCUUCUUCUGGAUAACCGCAUGAAAGUGUGGCUAAUACGGGAUAUUCUGGGUCUGUCGCAUGAUGGGUCUGGGAAAGAUAUUGUUUCGGUGGGGGAUGGGCUCGCGGCCUAUCAGCUUGUUGGUGGGGUGAUGGCCUACCAAGGCGGUGACGGGUGGCCGGCCUGAGAGGGUGGACGGUCACACGGGGACUGAGACACGGCCCAGACUCCUACGGGAGGCAGCAGUGGGGAAUAUUGCACAAUGGGCGCAAGCCUGAUGCAGCGACGCCGCGUGAGGGAUGGAGGCCUUCGGGUUGUGAACCUCUUUCGCCAGUGAAGCAGGCCUGCCUCGUUUGUGGGUGGGUUGACGGUAGCUGGAUAAGAAGCGCCGGCUAACUACGUG